CUGGGCCCUGUUUCGUAAUUCCUUCGCCAAGCCUUUUGAGGUUGAGAAGGAUUAUAUAUGUGCAUUGCCUCACACCUGGCCAAGACCCUGGGUUUGACAACUAGCACUCAACAGAAGGGGAGAAUCCUCAUCUGGUGAUGGAUAGAGAUA
Microtus oregoni (creeping vole) is the source of this 150-nucleotide long non-coding RNA. RefSeq lists it as uncharacterized. NCBI's taxonomy places the organism in Eukaryota, Metazoa, Chordata, Mammalia, Rodentia, Cricetidae. The transcript has 3 exons. The record is from RefSeq and is a predicted model, not a curated record.